This 253-nucleotide ribosomal RNA is filed under the name uncultured bacterium. RNAcentral's name for it is "partial 16S ribosomal RNA". It matches the Rfam family "Bacterial small subunit ribosomal RNA", at positions 524 to 776 of the family's 1533-position model. The record is from RNAcentral.
UACGAAGGGGGCUAGCGUUGCUCGGAAUCACUGGGCGUAAAGGGUGCGUAGGCGGGUCUUUAAGUCAGGGGUGAAAUCCUGGAGCUCAACUCCAGAACUGCCUUUGAUACUGAGGAUCUUGAGUUCGGGAGAGGUGAGUGGAACUGCGAGUGUAGAGGUGAAAUUCGUAGAUAUUCGCAAGAACACCAGUGGCGAAGGCGACACACUGGGCCAUUACUGACGCUGAGGCGCGAAAGCGUGGGGAGCAAACAGG